CAUGAGCAGUAUUAGUUUUCUUCUAACAUCCAGAAGUCUGCAUGUGUUUUUCUAGCAAGCCUUUGACAGUGAAAUGUAACAUGACCGAAACACCAACAUCAAAAAAACAAACAAAACACUCACACAAAUCAUAUUUUAAUGUUAUUUAUUUUUAUUUUAGUAAACUCUGAAAAUUCUAUCAGACAGAUGGUGGAGAGUACAGUUUAACAACUAUUAACAAAUAGAUGAUUUAAUAUUUCUGGACAGGUUGGAGUCUUUCAGGAUCCACAAACAGCAUGGUUGUUCAAACUCUGCUCCUCUUGGUGGAAAUGCACUCCGUCUUUCCCCCUUGCAAAAAAGAUUUUUAAUGUUAGUUUUAACUAACAUUAAAAAUAUAAACACCAGCUAACAGAUAAUAGAUAAUAGAAACAUGAAUGGUUCAGUCUAACAUGUGCUCAAGUGAGACAAUGAACCCCUGUAAUGAUUGAUCAUUUUACAUGUUUUAUAGCUCCAGCAGACUGAAGAGUUCAAAGUUUGCUUGGUUUUAUGCUGGUGCAUAUCUGAGUAUCAGAUGGUGCCACAGGUCAGACUCCAGCAGUUCUUUCAGGAAUCAGCAGACAGAGGAAACAAACACCACAGACGCUGCUUUUCCAGUGCUUUGAAAAACAUUUGUUUCAGUGAGAAAACAUCCACCACAAGUAUCUGUAUGAAGCCCGUGGAGGAAGUUAGUGAAUGUUCUCCUGAGGUAGUUUGGAUAUCCAAGUAGCCACCAACUAGAUACAGAGGUCUACUCUCUGGUAUUUUAAAGGGUCACAAAGGCUACAGUACAAAAACAUUGUUGUCUUGGUUUCUGUGACAGAGAAAAUUGUAACAGGAAGCUUUUUUUGCUUUUUCAUUUUCGCAGUAAUCAGUAAUGCUCUUCAGGGGAUCAGUCUGAUCGUCAUACACACACCCUCAACCUCCUCUGCUGCCGUGCUGCUUCUAACUCUUCUUCUUCUAUGCAGAGGUGAGUGUACAGAUGUGUGAUAUAGUUACAGGUUGGAACAUCUGUUUAUGUUUGGGCAAUGGGCUGGUACACACCUAAUGUAUAAAGUUUUUUUCCUUGUGGGAGCACAAAAGUGUACCAGUGUCAUUUAUUUAUAUAUUGCUGUUCCUCUAAUUCAUCUUUGUGCUCAUUUUGUUUCUCUUCUGUGAUUUUUUAAAUUUAAGCUUCUGCUGAAUGUGUUUUAACAGAUUAAUCAGUUAAAGUGUCCACUUGGCCUCCAAAUUCCCCUGAUAUCAUCGAGCUAAGCAGCUGUGGGUCCUUGAAACUUUUAGGAAUCAGAGCCUUUAAAAUAGUAGACAAAGUAUUUAUUAAUUGUUAAAGUCACUCUGAUAACUAUUUAUUAACUUCUUUUUUG
Molecule: long non-coding RNA, 1379 nt
Filed under: Oreochromis niloticus (Nile tilapia)
Lineage: Eukaryota; Metazoa; Chordata; Actinopteri; Cichliformes; Cichlidae
Description: lncRNA (ENSONIG00000035285.1)
Source: RNAcentral